ACUGUUGAUUCCGCUACGUCGACACUCCGUCGAGCCCCCGAUGCCCCAGUUUCGACCACACCCGACGGCCAUCAAAGGGAUUGUUUCGUGCACGAUAGACGUCAGACCCCGUAGGUAGAAACAAUAGGGACACAGAACAAGCAAGUGAAUGUGAUGACAUGCAGAUCACUCUAGAAGCUAAAAUUAAAAUAAUUUGGAUUAAGUGAAUUACUUAUGCUCUAAUGAAAUGAAUUCCAAGUGCUACUUAUUAUCUAACUGUUUAGAUACCAUGCAAGUAAUUUAAACAUCUAAAUGGUGAAACUCGUGAUCUAUAUGCUAGUUGUUUCUUAUUGCAGUUUUUGAAGUAGCUUACUGGAAUUGUACUACACAUGAAUUCGUAGAUAUAUAUAAAAUUACAGAUAAGGGUGAGACAGAUUAUUUGGCAAAAUGCUUUGAUUAUAUCUACAUAUAUUUUUUCUUUAAUAGCAUAAAUUUAAGGAAGUGCAUUCAAAACUAGUAACUAGGAUACAUACACUUAAACACUAAAUUGAACUACGACACUUGUCACAGGGAAGAAUUUAUAAGUUGAAGAAUCAACGCAUCAACUAGAACGGUUGAGCGGUAACGAAUUACUACAAGAAUUUUGUAAUUUAUUCUUCGUAUCAUCUCACCAAUAAAUUCACAUAAUUGACUAUUCGUCUAUUACCGCCCAACAUCUUACAAAAUUCUUGUAAGCAUCUUCCAAGAACGCCAAGUAUUAGACGACUGGUGCUAAUCG
Long non-coding RNA from Aedes albopictus (Asian tiger mosquito), 757 nucleotides. RefSeq lists it as uncharacterized. The record is from RefSeq and is a predicted model, not a curated record. NCBI's taxonomy places the organism in Eukaryota, Metazoa, Arthropoda, Insecta, Diptera, Culicidae. The transcript has 3 exons.